RNAcentral lists this long non-coding RNA (1281 nucleotides) under Cricetulus griseus (Chinese hamster). RNAcentral describes it as "lncRNA (ENSCGRG00015040021.1)". Lineage: Eukaryota; Metazoa; Chordata; Mammalia; Rodentia; Cricetidae. The record is from RNAcentral.
UUCCAUUUAUUUAUUUAUUUAUUUAUUUAUUUAUUUAUUUAUUUUUGAGACAGAGUUUCUCUGUGUAGCCCAGACUGUACUAGAACUCCCUCUGUAGACCAGGCUGACCUUGAACUCACAGAGAUCUGCCUGUCUCUGCCUCUCUAGUGCUGGGAUUAAAGGCAUGGGACACCACUACCUGGGCUGAGUCGCUCAAUUUUUCAAGCACACACCCCAUGCCCAUACUGAGUUACAAAUUUGAGUUCCCAAAUCCUUGUGUCCUGGGGCCUCCCCUCCAGCAGGUCAAGGAAACAAUAAUAUUUUGAAAUCUUUAAAGGUGACAGUUCUAGGACAGCAGCAGAGGCCGUAGGAUUUAGUGAGGAAAUAACCUGGAGUACAAACUGGAGAUGCAGGAGAGGAAAACACAAGGCAGUUGUUACCAGAGACUGAAUGACAAGCAGCUCGUCUUGUUGGGUGAUCUGGGGCAAAUGGCAUACUCCUCUCGCCUGGUUUACCCAUCUCACUACAGAGAACAUACAGCGGCCAUCCACCUCACAGGACUGGGGAAAUAACGUGCAGAGUGCUGAAGGUCAUUCCUAACACACAGAGAAUGCUCAAUAAAUUGACACUGUGUCACUCCUUGUGAAAUGACUGUGUUCACCAUGGGGCUGAAAAAGGGGGCAUGGAGUUGUGGACUGUGUGAGGAGACCUCUUUUCUGGUCCCACCACAAAACCAAUAUGGCUGCCACCAGGCCCACUGCCACCUUAGGAAGCUCUUCUAAGGCUGGGGGCUUGUUGUACUUCUUAAGGUAAACCCAUGGGCAGGGAAGUCUUCUUGUCUCUACCCACCCAUUGCCUGUACAAGACCUGAGCUGUGCAUCUCACUAAAUGGUUGGACUUAAGUCCGAACUGGCCCCACCUCACCUCCCUGGGUGUGCAUCCCCACUUAGGCCAAGAUCACAGUGUCUCCAGCUCACUCCCAGAGCAGGUGGCCUGGAAGCCAAGUAAUGUGGUCAAGCAAGUGAUGUCCAAAGAAUGUGACCAGGUCAGUAAGGGGUGCCUCGGGGAUGGCAGAAGGCAGGAUGUCCCUCACACACAGAGAAACUUCUUCAUGAUGUUCGUGGGGGUGAGAAACUGUCCCAAGGAAAUUCUUCGGGGUUAUUUCACCAUCAGCAGCUGAAAAUUAGCACUCACCUCAGCAUCCAGAGAUGGUUGUCAUGAGCUGCCAUCUUGGUUGCAUAAGCCAGUGAGUGCUCCCCAAGCUACAGGUGUAGACACUGAAACACAGAGAUGACAAGAAAC